This 1750-nucleotide small RNA is filed under the name Pongo abelii (Sumatran orangutan). RNAcentral describes it as "retained intron". The record is from RNAcentral. Lineage: Eukaryota; Metazoa; Chordata; Mammalia; Primates; Hominidae.
CCUAUUCUGUACAGGCUGAAAGGUGCCCUGAGUCGAGGUGACUGGUACAAGACAAAGGAGAUCCUGCUGAAGGGGCCCGACUGGAUCCUGGGUGAGAUCAAGACAUCGGGUUUGCGGGGCCGUGGAGGCGCUGGCUUCCCCACUGGCCUCAAGUGGAGCUUCAUGAAUAAGCCCUCAGAUGGCAGGCCCAAGUAUCUGGUGGUGAACGCAGACGAGGGGGAGCCGGGCACCUGCAAGGACCGGGAGAUCAUACGCCAUGAUCCUCACAAGCUGGUGGAAGGCUGCCUGGUGGGGGGCCGGGCAAUGGGCGCCCGUGCUGCCUAUAUCUACAUCCGAGGGGAGUUCUACAAUGAGGCCUCCAAUCUGCAGGUGGCCAUCCGAGAGGCCUAUGAGGCAGGUCUGAUUGGCAAGAAUGCCUGUGGCUCUGGCUAUGAUUUUGACGUGUUUGUGGUGCGCGGGGCUGGGGCCUACAUCUGUGGAGAGGAGACAGCGCUCAUCGAGUCCAUCGAGGGCAAGCAGGGCAAGCCCCGCCUGAAGCCCCCCUUCCCCGCAGACGUGGGUAAGGCCUGGUGUAACCCUGGGUCAGACUGUGUCCUGUGACACCCAGGAUCUGGCUAGGCUCCCUUUGGAUUGUUCUUAGGGAUUUCUGAGUGCCUUCCCGGCUGGGGCCAGAUAGAGAGUAGGCUGGCAGCAACACACAGGCUCCCCCAGAGCCGCCUGCAGUCCCUCCUCCUGCCUCCGUCCCCCCCGCACCAGUGCUGCUCUGUGGCUCCACCUUCACAGUGCCUGUGCUGAGGCUAAGGGCAUGGUGGUGAACAAGGCAAUGAGGCAUCUCUGGAGUUCGGGGUCCAGCAGGGAUAAGAAUGAUAAGGGGAUAUUAGAGCAGGGGCUCUGCCAUGGGAGCCAGACCCUGGGACACACCUCCCUGCCAGGAAACUUGCCCCACCCCCUAGCAGCCACCUGUUCUCUUCCCAUUUCCCUGAAGGAGUGUUUGGCUGCCCCACAACUGUGGCCAACGUGGAGACAGUGGCAGUGUCCCCCACAAUCUGCCGCCGUGGGGGUACCUGGUUUGCUGGCUUUGGCAGAGAACGCAACUCAGGCACCAAACUAUUCAACAUCUCUGGCCAUGUCAACUACCCUUGCACUGUGGAGGAGGAGAUGUCUGUGCCCUUGAAAGAACUGAUUGAGAAGCAUGCUGGGGGUGUCACGGGCGGCUGGGACAAUCUCCUUGCUGUGAUCCCUGGCGGCUCGUCUACCCCACUGAUCCCCAAGUCUGUGUGUGAGACGGUGCUGAUGGACUUCGACGCGCUGGUGCAGGCACAGACAGGCCUGGGCACAGCCGCGGUGAUCGUCAUGGACCGCUCGACCGACAUCGUGAAAGCCAUCGCCCGCCUCAUUGAGUUCUAUAAGCACGAGAGCUGUGGCCAGUGUACCCCAUGUCGUGAGGGUGUGGACUGGAUGAACAAGGUGAUGGCACGUUUCGUGAGGGGGGACGCCCAGCCGGCCGAGAUCGAUUCCCUGUGGGAGAUCAGCAAGCAGAUAGAAGGCCAUACGAUUUGUGCUCUGGGUGACGGGGCCGCCUGGCCUGUGCAGGGUCUGAUCCGCCACUUUCGGCCGGAGCUCGAGGAGCGGAUGCAGCGGUUUGCCCAGCAGCAUCAGGCCCAGCAGGCUGCCUCUUAGCCCACCACUCUGGCCUGCUGUCCUGCGUCUAUCCGUCUGGAAUGCUGGACAAUAAAGCGAGUGCUGCCCA